RNAcentral lists this ribosomal RNA (550 nucleotides) under Meyerozyma guilliermondii. RNAcentral's name for it is "eukaryotic LSU rRNA". It matches the Rfam family "Eukaryotic large subunit ribosomal RNA", at positions 86 to 652 of the family's 3401-position model. Lineage: Eukaryota; Fungi; Ascomycota; Pichiomycetes; Serinales; Debaryomycetaceae. The record is from RNAcentral.
GCGGCGAGUGAAGCGGCAAAAGCUCAAAUUUGAAAUCUGGCGCCUUCGGUGUCCGAGUUGUAAUUUGAAGAUUGUAACCUUGGGGUUGGCUCUUGUCUAUGUUUCUUGGAACAGGACGUCACAGAGGGUGAGAAUCCCGUGCGAUGAGAUGCCCAAUUCUAUGUAAGGUGCUUUCGAAGAGUCGAGUUGUUUGGGAAUGCAGCUCUAAGUGGGUGGUAAAUUCCAUCUAAAGCUAAAUAUUGGCGAGAGACCGAUAGCGAACAAGUACAGUGAUGGAAAGAUGAAAAGAACUUUGAAAAGAGAGUGAAAAAGUACGUGAAAUUGUUGAAAGGGAAGGGUUUGAGAUCAGACUCGAUAUUUUGUGAGCCUUGCCUUCGUGGCGGGGUGACCCGCAGCUUAUCGGGCCAGCAUCGGUUUGGGCGGUAGGAUAAUGGCGUAGGAAUGUGACUUUACUUCGGUGAAGUGUUAUAGCCUGCGUUGAUGCUGCCUGCCUAGACCGAGGACUGCGAUUUUAUCAAGGAUGCUGGCAUAAUGAUCCCAAACCGCCCGU